Molecule: unclassified non-coding RNA, 339 nt
Filed under: soil metagenome
Description: partial contains 5.8S ribosomal RNA, internal transcribed spacer 2, and large subunit ribosomal RNA
Rfam family: 5.8S ribosomal RNA (bases 1-120)
Source: RNAcentral
GAUGAAGAACGUAGCGAAAUGCGAUACGUAGUGUGAAUUGCAGAAUUCAGUGAAUCAUCGAAUCUUUGAACGCACAUUGCACCUCUCGGUAUUCCGGGAGGUAUGCCUGUUCGAGCGUCAUUUGUGCCCUCAAGCUCUGCUUGGUGUUGGGUGUUUGUUCCGCCUCUGUGUGUGAACUCGCCUCAAAACAAUUGGCAGCCGGCGUACUUGUUUCGGAGCGCAGCACAUUUUGCGAUCCAGAUCAACGUACAGCGGCAUCCAAGAAGCCUUAUUUAACGCUCUUGACCUCGGAUCAGGUAGGGAUACCCGCUGAACUUAAGCAUAUCAAUAAGCGGAGGA